CCUCGCUCUAACACCUGCAGUCAGUUUAUGGUGAAGCUGUUCCAGUUCAAACUGCCUUUCAGACGUGCUAAAUAUAGACGCAAAAUCAGCCACCGCAAUCAGUUUCAGGUUUGGUCAGUUGCGUUGGGCUGAAU
Molecule: long non-coding RNA, 134 nt
Organism: Sphaeramia orbicularis (orbiculate cardinalfish)
Lineage: Eukaryota; Metazoa; Chordata; Actinopteri; Kurtiformes; Apogonidae
Exons: 4
Source: RefSeq, a predicted model, not a curated record